CUCCAAGUUUACAGCAAUCACAUGUGGGACUAAUAGAAGGAAAAAUGAUGGCGUUUUUGUUGCUGAAGACAGCAAAAUGUCUGCAUUUGUUGACACUUUACAGAAGGCAGUGAAAAAUGCAAGUUUAGGUGAUUUUGUUUUUCAUUUUGGUUAAUUUGACAUAAUAGUUUUUACUAUAGUAACCAAACGACUGUCUUCUGCAAGAUGACUACUGUUAAAUUAGAGUAAAUGGAAAAUCUUGUCAUUUACUUUAUAAUUUCUUGCUAUUUUAUUAUAUUUGUUACAUGUCGUAGACACGGGGAAGAGGCACAUGUGGGGAUUCCCAGUGGACAGCAGCACGAGAGACUUCAAGGAAGGCCUCCAAACUGGAUGAAGAGGAGAUGGAGGUCGCUGUGUGUCGACAUGGAUUGUGUCUUUUGUGUCACUUUCACUUCAGGGACGGCAAACUGUGGCGUGUUUCAGGAACGGUUACAUGCCCGACAACUACACUUCUGAACAGAGCUGGGAUGCUCGUCUCCUCAUGGAGCGCUCUCGAGCUGUGAAGUGUCCAGAUAUCAGCGCUCACCUGGCUGGUACCAAGAAGGUUCAGCAAGUGCUCCCCAGACCUGGAGUCCUGGACAGAUUCUUCCCAGACCAGCCUCAAGCUGUGCAGCAGAUCCGAGCGACAUUGGCUGACCUCUACACUCUAGACAUGGGUCCAGAGAGGGACAAAACAGUAUCAGUGGCCUUGUCAGCAGCAGAACGGUUUGUCUUGAAGUCUCAGCGAGAAGGAGGAGGCAGGGUAAAGACAUGGUGAUGAAUGAGUGUGUGGGCCGUCUGCUGAGGACCAAGAGCUCAGGACAGUCAGACGGGGGCGUCGCAGCAGGAGUCACCGUGCUCGACAACCCUCUGCUGUUCUGAGAUGUCACACUCCUGCCUGCACAUACAAACCACAGUGAAGUCAGAGUUCCACCUGCACCUCCACCUGUUCUUGCAACAGCAUGAAAACUGACAGAGGGUGAAGAGCAGUUAGCAGUGCAUUCAUGGACAUCUUUAAACUAUUAAUUGAAGAAUCUUUGGUCAUGAUGGCAUGAACUAGAAACGUGAGCUCCAGGUGAGACUGCACAGAAGAACAAGUGUCCUUAAACUGCAUCAACUGAUGACGUC
Haplochromis burtoni (Burton's mouthbrooder) is the source of this 1146-nucleotide long non-coding RNA. RefSeq lists it as uncharacterized. The record is from RefSeq and is a predicted model, not a curated record. The transcript has 5 exons. NCBI's taxonomy places the organism in Eukaryota, Metazoa, Chordata, Actinopteri, Cichliformes, Cichlidae.